RNAcentral lists this ribosomal RNA (434 nucleotides) under uncultured Pantoea sp. Its description in RNAcentral is "bacterial SSU rRNA". It matches the Rfam family "Bacterial small subunit ribosomal RNA", at positions 958 to 1392 of the family's 1533-position model. The record is from RNAcentral. Lineage: Bacteria; Pseudomonadati; Pseudomonadota; Gammaproteobacteria; Enterobacterales; Erwiniaceae.
AACGCGAAGAACCUUACCUACUCUUGACAUCCAGAGAACUUAGCAGAGAUGCUUUGGUGCCUUCGGGAACUCUGAGACAGGUGCUGCAUGGCUGUCGUCAGCUCGUGUUGUGAAAUGUUGGGUUAAGUCCCGCAACGAGCGCAACCCUUAUCCUUUGUUGCCAGCGAUUCGGUCGGGAACUCAAAGGAGACUGCCGGUGAUAAACCGGAGGAAGGUGGGGAUGACGUCAAGUCAUCAUGGCCCUUACGAGUAGGGCUACACACGUGCUACAAUGGCGCAUACAAAGAGAAGCGACCUCGCGAGAGCAAGCGGACCUCACAAAGUGCGUCGUAGUCCGGAUCGGAGUCUGCAACUCGACUCCGUGAAGUCGGAAUCGCUAGUAAUCGUGGAUCAGAAUGCCACGGUGAAUACGUUCCCGGGCCUUGUACACACCG